CUUCCUUGUCACCUAGCAAUAGCAAGAAGGCUUUAAAGGCUGGAGAAGAUUUUGUUUUUUGCCUUUUGUAUUGAUCAGCAAUGCACUGGCCCUUUCCCUUCAGCCCGCAUCACCGGCCCAAGACACCUAACAGGAUGGACUACAUUUGUUUCAUCUGGUGAUGGACAUUUGGUUUGUUUCUGCUUUUGG
Long non-coding RNA from Myotis davidii, 189 nucleotides. RefSeq lists it as uncharacterized. The record is from RefSeq and is a predicted model, not a curated record. NCBI's taxonomy places the organism in Eukaryota, Metazoa, Chordata, Mammalia, Chiroptera, Vespertilionidae. The transcript has 2 exons.